RNAcentral lists this long non-coding RNA (377 nucleotides) under Chlamydomonas reinhardtii. Its description in RNAcentral is "long non-coding RNA (CREI_LNC000419)". The record is from RNAcentral. Lineage: Eukaryota; Viridiplantae; Chlorophyta; Chlorophyceae; Chlamydomonadales; Chlamydomonadaceae.
ACCACUAUACCACUAGUGCGGAUGCAUCGCCAUGGGCUCGAACGGAGCGCAGACCGCACAGAAUACACCCUCACGAGGCCGCACAGGACCCAGCUACACAGGGCAAGCGCGGGGGAGCGCGGGGGAGGCGCGCGUGGGCUCGGGGCGGGUGGGGGACACGCAGGGACGCAGCAAACAGGUGGACACGCACGCGGCCAGCUUGCGGUCCUGCGGAUAGCGCUGACAGAGUCAUAGCCGCACGCUACGCUGUGCCACUUACUCAGUUGCACGCUGCUGGCUCCAGAUAUAGUCCUUUGAAGGGCUGAGGGCGUGGUCAACGUCCCCAGGGACACGGACGCGUCAAGCAUGGCAUCACGCACGCGCCGGACUCUCACGCA